Molecule: ribosomal RNA, 633 nt
Filed under: Ammonia sp. T15
Lineage: Eukaryota; Foraminifera; Rotaliida; Rotaliidae
Description: SSU rRNA
Rfam family: Eukaryotic small subunit ribosomal RNA
Source: RNAcentral
CACAUCCCACUGCUUAGUGUGCGCGGCGUAUUUCGGUACUUGCGUCACACAUUAAACUAUAGAGACCGCUGUUUCUUCUUUAAACCAGAGGAAGGAUACGGCAAUAACAGGUCUGUGAUGCCCUCAGAUGUUCCGGGCUGCACACGUGCUACAAUGAUCAUUGCACUGUGCAUCUAACCCAAUGUGCGCGGACGCCACGAUUUGUGAUUUUUGCUUUCGGGCAUUAUUACAUAUUCGCUUGUGCGACUGCGCCGAACCUACUUCGAAAGUAAAAUUUUUAAGUGGGUAAUCCAUUAGAAGUAAUGACUCGCAUAGACCAUGGCACACUUUAUGUACGCGCAGGUCUACCCGGCUCGCCUUUGUGUGAGUGCAGUGCGUAGCUUGUUGUUUCGUACGUGCCACUCCGUAUUAAUUCGUACGUGGGGAUAGAUCAUUGUUUAAUUGUUGGUCUCGGUCUUAACUAGGAAUGCCUUGUACGGGUCUUUGGUUCAACAUACCACCCGGAAUACGUCCCUGCCCUUUGUACACACCGCCCGUCGCUCUUACCGAUGGAUUAUACUAUGAAUCUAUAGGACUGCCAAAGCUUUGCGGCGUGUUCGCACACCGCAGCUUAGUGGAAAUAUAUAUGAAUAG